AUGGCAUUGGUUCUCAGAUUUGUUGAUGAAGAUCGUAUAUUGCAAGAGCGGUUCUUUGCCUUGAUACAUGUGACGAACACCAAAGCCGCAACACUUAAAGAGGUAUUGAGUUCUUUGUUAUCCAAACAUGCUUUUGACGUUCAGAACCUUCGUGGGCAGGGGUACGACGGGGCUAGUAAUAUGAGGGGGGAGUUCAAUGGCUUGCAAGCUCUUUUUCUUAGAGAAUGCCCAUAUGCGUAUUAUGUCCACUGCUACGCUCAUCGCUUGCAACUUGCGCUAGUGUCUGCAUCGAAGGAAGUGGUCACCGUUGCUCAAUUCUUUCAGAAACUUCUUUUUAUUGUAAACACCGUUGACUCCUCUGCAAGGCGCCAUGAUGAGCUUCGUGAUGCCCAGUUGGAGGAACUAGCUCGGUUACUAGCUAUUGAUGACAUUGAAACUGGUAAAGGGGCAAACCAGAUCUGCACACUAAAAAGACCCGGAGACACUAGAUGGGGGUCUCACUUAGAUUCUAUAUCCAGCCUAAAGAAAAUGUUUAAAGCAGUAAAUUCAGUGCUUCAAAAUAUAGCAUCAGAUGGGUCAGCUGGCUCAAUUCGUGCAGAUGGAGACACUGCUUUCAACUAUUUGUCCUCUUUUGAGUUCAUAUUUGUCUUAUGUCUGAUGGAAGAAAUAUUGGAGAUAACUGAAGAUCUUGGUCAAGCUUUGCAAAAGAAAUCACAGGACAUAGUAAAUGCCAUGCGUCUAGUGUGCACAACAAAGGUUCUUCUUGAUGAAAUGAGAUCAGAUGAUGGUUGGGAGGCCUUUUUUGAUAGGGUUGUUGAGUUCUGUGUAAACCAUUCCAUUGAUAUUCCAGAUCUGGGAGAAACUUACAUUAUGUGUGGUGGUCGUGCUCGUCGCCAACCAGAUCAUUUUACUAAGGAGCAUUAUUUACGGGUGGAAGUAUUUCAUGCAACACUUGAUACUCAGCUACAUGAAUUAGAAUUCAGGUUCAAUGACAAGGUACUGGAUCUAUUGACCACUAGUGCUACCCUGAUACCUAAAAAUAAAUUCAGAUCUUUCAAAGCUGAUGAUAUUUGUGAGUUAGUGAAGAAAUAUUAUCCAGCUGAUUUCACCCAACAGGAAAUCUAUGGAUUGGAGCAGCAACUAAAACACUUUGUUGUGGAUGCCUCCAAUGACAAAGAGUUGAAAAAUGUGUCAACCUUAACAAAUCUUUGUCGAUAUCUUUUCGAGACAGGGAGACAUUCUAUCUACAAUCUGAUUGAUCGAUUGUUGCGAUUGCUUCUAACUCUUCCAGUUUCUACAGCAAGCGCCGAGCGAGCAUUCUCAACCUUAAAGAUCAUUAAGACAAGGCUACGCAAUACCAUGGAAGAUGAUUAUCUAGCCAAUAGCUUGCUAGUAAAAAUAGAGAGUGAAAUCACGGAGAAGUACAGCUAUGAAGAUGUUCUUAUGCACUUUAAGGGUGCAAAGAAACGAAAAGCUAAUCUGUAG
RNAcentral lists this ribosomal RNA (1485 nucleotides) under Triticum aestivum (bread wheat). RNAcentral's name for it is "partial small subunit ribosomal RNA". The record is from RNAcentral. Lineage: Eukaryota; Viridiplantae; Streptophyta; Magnoliopsida; Poales; Poaceae.